AAUUCGAAACAACUUUGAAACUGCUGGCAUUAUAAUUCUAACACGAUUUGUGUGGCAGAAACUGAAGCGCAGUUCUCCACCGCUCCACUAGGCGGCGCAAGCGGCUUCACGUUCAGUCUGACACCUCCGGAUGUUUGACGACAUGACGUUUGUUUUGUUGCAACAACACAUUGAGUAGUAGACCGUUUUAAAUACAUAUCCUGAGGAUGACAGCUCUGUGACAGUGUUUUAAUGCCACUAAACAGCACAUAUUCCAGCACAUCAACAAAUAAAACCGACACACGCUGCGAUAAAGCUGCAGGAAUCGAGUGGCACGCGACUCACCGAAUACGGGAUGUGUUUGGAGUGUCCAGUCAUCAGAAGCAGAGCUGUGGGACGUGUGGACAGACAUUGACUGUAAUGAUGGACUUCUGCUGAUGGACGGAAGCAUAACCCCUGCUGGACAUCGUGGCGGGGUUCGGGGGGGGGACCCGACGCGUCCCCAUCCCCUUCACACAUACAGCAUUCACUCGUAUUGCGGAGAUCUGGCUGGGAUUGAACCAGCAACCUCUGAAACCAUGAGGCAGCGCUCUUACCUGUGAGCCACAGAUCUCUUGCUGAUGCAUGUGCUGGAACUUAUAUUUAACUUUUCACCUG
Rhinichthys klamathensis goyatoka is the source of this 636-nucleotide long non-coding RNA. RefSeq lists it as uncharacterized. The transcript has 3 exons. The record is from RefSeq and is a predicted model, not a curated record. Lineage: Eukaryota; Metazoa; Chordata; Actinopteri; Cypriniformes; Leuciscidae.